This 2782-nucleotide long non-coding RNA is filed under the name Felis catus (domestic cat). Its description in RNAcentral is "lncRNA (ENSFCAG00000048737.1)". The record is from RNAcentral. Lineage: Eukaryota; Metazoa; Chordata; Mammalia; Carnivora; Felidae.
AUGUAUAUUGAUUCUAUUAAUCCUUUCAUUCUUCAAUGUUUUCUAAAUUACAUAUUUAGAGGUCCUGACAUGCAGUCUUUUUGGUGUUACAUGUCUCAGUCGACUGGGUGUAUAGCACAUGUGUUUGGAGCUUGGGAGUUUGGGGCCAGAAAACAAUGUCAAGUCAGGGACCUGGAGCACAAAUGGAUUUGUUGCACUUCCCAGGUACUUCACAUUUGUGCUGCUCAUGUCCAAGGAAGAUUGUCCCUUGUAUUCCUCCCAGAUUUCCACGUCAUUACCUCUCUGAGAGAAUGAAACAUUAAAUAAGAAAUAUUAUUCAGCUGCAGGGCUGUUCAGAGUGACCCUUCCAAAAUGAUACUAUGACUAGUUCAAGCUGAUGAAGUUUGUGAGAAACACAUUAUAUACACCAUGAUAAUUUUGAAGGAGGAACUUUUGUAUAAAUAUACAUAAGGUGGUGGUUUUCAAACUUUAGGAUGCAUCAGAACCUCCAAGGAGCUUAUUAAAAAUGCAGAUUUGGGGGUCUCAUUUCUGGAAUUUUGGGUUCAUUUGGUCUAGGGUAAAGUCCAAGAAUCUGUAUUUCUAAUAAUGCUGCUAAUGUGGGGACCAUGCUUGAGAAUGUUGAUCUAGGGUAAUAAUUUAAAAAAUUAAUAUGGUUAUCACUUGCAUUUUGGAUUACAUGACUUUCAAGGUAGGAAGGGGAUUAAAUUGGGUUGUAACUGCAGGAAUGCAAAGUAAAAGAAAGAAUUAAUCUUCAACUAUUACCAAAACAGUUUUCAAGCAUGCAAGAUAGCAGACUCGAAAGAGAGACCUGGUUGAUAAAAGGAUUUUGUAAACUCCUUUAAUCUCCUCCUUCAAUAUAAGAGACAAACCAAUGGACCUGAUGUAUGAGUUGUUUUAUUUUGCUUUUUUGAUCAUAGUGUUUUAAAUAUGGAAGGUCUUGGUAAAGAGGAAAGAAAAAAAGGGAAAAACUGGUCUUUUUCACUCUCCUGGACUAGGGGUUGAAAAGAUAACUAUGAUAUAUGUGUCUCUAGGCUGAAGUGUCAUGGAGAGAGGUCAUGGAUGUAGGGACUCAUGCCCUAGUUCCCAUUGCAGUCUGUAAGGAGAUAACCUCAGCAUCCUGGGUGCAGCUAUGUCAAAGUUACUGUGAUGGCUCAAUGUAGUUGGAUGGAGACAGGAUCUGAGUUUGGGUGCCUCGAGUCUCCCUUAGAUCCCAUGUAGUGUGGAGACAAUCCAGAAGUUUAGUUGUGCCCUAUGGAGGGAUAGGGAAGGUAGCUGCAGGUGCUGAUGGUGGGCUUAUCCAAAGAGUCUUUUCUUGUGAUGGGGACAAAGUCCACAACCAAUGGCUCAAGUGUGGACACCUGGAUGAGAAGCAAACUGGGAAAGACCAUAGGAAAGACUAUAGCCCUAGUGAGAGCUGGGGUGGGGCCCAGUUCAGCAAGGGGUGCCCAGUGUCCAGUGAGAAUAUUGCUCUAGCCAAGAGAACAGCUGUAGCCCUCAGCAGCAGCAGCAGAUGCCCAGGUAUGAUAUUGGUCCUUUCUAACCAGUCAGCAAUCCAUGGAGCAGCCAGACCAGGCACUGUGCUGUAGAGAUUAACACUGGCUCAAAGAAUAACUUGUGCAUAAGAGAAUUUUAUUUCCUUUCCAAUGCUCUCAGUCCACCUUUCUCUCUCACACACCUAUAUGCUUUCUGAAAUAGGAAUGGGAGUUCUCAGAACUUUGAAACACUGUGAUUUACUUGAGUCCUUUAAGCAGAGACUGAGUUAAAUUAUUGGUUUUAACUGAGGUUAUCAGAUAGGACUAGUGUUUUCUCUACCCUGCCUCCCCCAUCUGCUACUACACAGUUACAGAGAAAAGAUGCUUUCUUUGUAUAGCUGAGGGUGUAAUUUUAGCCUGUGUAAAAUCCAAGAGUAUUAGGCAUUGUUGCAUAUGGAGAUUCAAAGAACAUCUGCAGAAUUUUCUUUCUCUUAGGUCUGUUUUAUCCUAUGUUGACUGUAUUUUUAGGCAGGAUUUAACAAGUGGUGGUAAAGAAGGUCGCCAGCAGUGCAUUCUUAGUGAUAUCCUAGAAUUCUGGUCAACCCUCCCAAAAGGACUGUGGCCCUGCAGGGUCAUAUGCUGUCUUUUAUGGUAGGAGGGGUGGGACUAGGUAAUCAACAUCCUCACCUGGUGAGAGAGGAGCCUGUUCUGGAAGGAAAAAAAUGCUGGACUAACACAUGUAAGAAAUGUUGUCUAGAACUUAAUUGUGGCAGUAGGCCCUGUUGUGAUCAUGAUUCCGCCUGAUUCCUAGGAGGAAAUAGGCUAAUGACAAAUUAUGAAAGUGCCCCAGUGUCAUUUGCAUAUAUGCUCUUGAAAUUUGAAAUACGUGAGAAGCUUAUUAAAAGAGUUUGAGGAACCAGGAUCUUCCCCACCUAUGUGACAUUACAUAAUUUUGAGUGCAAAGGAAGAAUCACCUGUGUUAGGAAAAUGGUUGGGAUAGGAUGCCAUUAGCUCAGUUUGAGAGUCUGUUAGGUCCUCUGCCCCUUUCUUCACUUGGUUAACUAAUUUAUCUUUUAUGACUUACCUAAGGCAACACUUCCUCCAAGAAGUCCUCUCAGUGCUGGUGUAAGUGCCUUUCCAUGGCUCCCGUAAUAUUCCUAUGAGUGUCACCAUAUAAUUUAUUGUAUAAACUGGGACACAUUUGAGGUUGAAAUUAUUAAUACUAAUUUUAAAAUUAUGCUAAAAUAAUAGACGUAAACUUGAAUUGUCUCAGGCAAUAGGACAGGAAUAAAUUAGAAAUAUCUCAGGCA